RNAcentral lists this ribosomal RNA (493 nucleotides) under uncultured bacterium. RNAcentral's name for it is "bacterial SSU rRNA". It matches the Rfam family "Bacterial small subunit ribosomal RNA", at positions 903 to 1397 of the family's 1533-position model. The record is from RNAcentral.
AAAGGAAUAGACGGGGGCCCGCACAAGCGGAGGAGCAUGUGGCUUAAUUCGAUGCAACGCGAAGAACCUUACCCGGGUUUGACAUGUGACUGCACGUCCCGCGAAAGCGGGAUUCCUUCGAGGGUGUCACACAGGUGCUGCAUGGCUGUCGUCAGUUCGUGCCGUGAGGUGUUUGGUUAAGUCCAGCAACGAACGCAACCCCUGUGCCCAGUUGCCAGCGCGUAAUGGCGGGGACUCUGGUCAGACUGCCUGUUCACACAGGAGGAAGGUGGGGACGACGUCAAGUCAGUAUGGCCCUUACAUCCGGGGCUGCACACGUGCUACAAUGGCCGGUACAGAGGGACGCAAGACCGCGAGGUGGAGCAAACCCCCAGAGCCGGCCCCAGUUCAGAUUGCGGUCUGCAACCCGACCGCAUGAAGUCGGAUUCGCUAGUAACGGCGCAUCAGCUACGGCGCCGUGAAUACGUUCCCGGGCCUUGUACACACCGCCCGU